CUAAGAAGAAAGAAAUUAAGCAAGCAACAAGGGAUACCUUAUGGAGGUAGCUUGGUGCAUAAUGGGAAGUGUCAGAGCUUAAAGUAUUCCAGGUUCGUAAAUGAUUGGCUUAGGGAGUGUGAUACCAUUUAGCCUAGGAGUCUCCAAUUUGUUACUGGUAAGAUCUUAUAUCGUUAAGAAUUGUUUCAUAGAUAGUUAUUAUAUUUUAAGUAAUUAUAGUCAUGUUCUACCUAAUUGGCCCAUGAUUUAAAAGUUACGAGGAUAGUUCCUAUGCCUAAUUUGAUCAUUGGUGACAUAAUGGGAGUAAGGUAAUUAUUACUAUGUCUUAUAAAAAGGAUCAUAGUUCAUGAAGUAAGGUAGUAUGCAUUUAGGAAUAUCUUGUAAAUAUUCUUAAUCUUAUCUCUUAUUUAAUACUACUUUAAUUUUUUUGAUUGAAAGUAUUCUCUUUAACUACAUCAUAGUAUUAUGUUUUUAUUUCCUUGCUCCUCCGUCCCUAACAUAUAUGGUAUUUGAGUUAAGUUUCAAUCUGAAUUUGGCAUUAUGACUUUCAAUAAUAAUUUAUAUCAUUUCAUAAGAUUACUUAGAUUGAUGAUUCAUUGAGAGAGAAACUAUAAUCUCUCAAAUGCGUCUUCUAUGACAUGCAUCAUUAAGUCCAUAGUAGUCCUAUCUAUUUAUAAGCGAAAGCAGAGAAUCUAUAAUAAAUUAUUAAGAGAAUUCCUCCCAUCAAAGGCAUCCCGUAAAUAAAUCUAAUAUAAUAUGAACUUAUUUUCUAUUAAUCAUUAUUGAUCAUCAAAAUCUAAUUGAUUUUAUUAUAUAUCUUAUCUAAUUAUAAAGGGUAAUAUAAUCUAACAAAUUCAUCUCGAGAACGAAGUUAAGGGUUGUUGUAACCGAACACCACAAUAACCAAAGAGAGUGGCUUUUGAAUUCAUUAUUGGCCCGAUAGACGAUUGUUAGAACCAUUGCAGAUUCUAACCUUAGGGUUGAUCUUUUUAGGGGAUCGGCCUCCUUGGAACUCUAUAGGAGUUCCUCCCUCCAAGUUGCUACUCAAAUGCCGCAGAAAAGAUUCAUAUAUUGCUCAACAAAAGAGAAUGAAUACAUGGCUAUUUAUAGAGCUUCUAAACCCUAACUCCUAAUAGGACUUCUACUCAAGACUGCUACUUCUAACUAACUCCUAAUAUGACUCCUACUCAAGACUCCUAUUCCUUUGCAACUCCUAAUUCUUCUUUAAGAAACAACCUCCUAACCCUAGUCGGCCUCUUCGUCUCUUUAAUAGGGGUCAGGUUAGGUAGGUUUUACAUGAAUUCCCCUCUCUAUUAGGACUCUCCUAGCUAGAGUCUUAACAAUGAUAAAGGAGGUAGUGUGCGUAAGGCUUCCAAUCCGAUAGAAAUUUAGGAAUAGUAUAAUGUCAUUUCUUAUAAGAAUAAGUGAUCAAAGCUAGAAUAAAUAAAUUCCAUAAUUGUUAUAUAAUCUAAUUCAUAAUAAAUCAGCGCAUACAACAUUCAAUAGAUUUAAGAACUUUAAAAGAAUUCACAAUAUUUCAAUCCAAAUAAUCCCUUUAUCUAGAGAGGCCAACUGCCCACCCUCCUAUAAGUGGAUGGGUCCAACUAGGCCCAAACCCAAUGGUACUAUUGACACCUAUUCAAUAACCCCAAGCUCUCCCUUUAAGGAUGUUGAAUCUCGAAAACCAAAUGAUAGUGUUUAUGAUAUGAUCUGCAUUUUGAGUGACGUUGGAAGCUUCGAUCAGGAAGAGACAAUUAAAGCAAAAAGAAUCAUAUUGGGUCGGAAUAGAACAUGUUAGAAGAUUAGAUGUUGAGCCGGAGGAUCGGUCGAUGUAUCAGCAAAAGGCUUCGGACCCUGGGUUCGGGCAUUGGGCCAAGAAGAGCGAAAAUUACAUCAAGAAAAUUGGAGUUACGGAGGUCAACUGGUCGAUUGGGCAAUAGGUCGUAAGAGAUGAUGAUGCGCCGAAGAAUCGGAUAAGGCGUCGAUGAACCAAUGACAUGUCGGAUAACAUUUGGUUUAGCUUUGUAAUAAUUGUGUAGAUCGAAGUAGGUUUUAUGUGUAAUUGAGUUAGAAUUAGGCCAAGUCAAUUAGGGGCCAAUUGGAUCAAGUUUGGGUUGUGUUGGGCCAUGUAAAAGGCCCAAACAAUGACCCAACAUGUGGAAUCGUCGAUGGCACAAUAGUCGAGACUAUGUGUGUCAAGUGGUGGUACCUCCAGACUAGGCAAUGUUAUCGCCCAAUGAUAGGGUGUCAGGCAGUGGUACUGCAUAGUAUUAGUGCUGUCAGCAAUAAUACCACCCAGCACUGGCGAUGGUACCGCCAGUACCCAAAAGACCCGAGAAAAGAUUAGUUUUGGCUUCAAAUUUGAAUCCAUUUGGAGCCUAUAAAUAUCCCUCUCAUCCCUGGUUAACAAAUACAAGUACAGAGAACUUAAAAGUGGGAAAACGCUGUAGCAAUCACUUUGAGAAAUCUCCUCCUCUAGUUCUAAAGUUAAGAAUUCGGUUUUGGGAGGAGUAAGUGCUCGUAAAAGGUUAUCUCCUAAACCUUUGAAAAGGAGAAGAGAGGUGUAAAAGGGUAGUUGAUUUUCACGCUUGAAAGAAGAUCAGUAAUGAAAGCUAAUGGC
RNAcentral lists this long non-coding RNA (2620 nucleotides) under Musa acuminata (dwarf banana). RNAcentral describes it as "long non-coding RNA (MACU_LNC009891)". The record is from RNAcentral. Lineage: Eukaryota; Viridiplantae; Streptophyta; Magnoliopsida; Zingiberales; Musaceae.